Molecule: long non-coding RNA, 216 nt
Filed under: Fukomys damarensis (Damara mole-rat)
Lineage: Eukaryota; Metazoa; Chordata; Mammalia; Rodentia; Bathyergidae
Description: lncRNA (ENSFDAG00000029631.1)
Source: RNAcentral
AUGAGAGCACAUAGAGGGAGCAGGCGACUGUUUCCGGUGGGCACAGGAGCUCUCCCCCUGUCUGUGUCUUACAGAAGUGCUCAUCACAGGGUCUUGCAGAAGCAGGAGGUGCGCUCCCUGAGAGGACCCCACACACGUCCGGUAGGACGCGCAUCCUCAGGAGUGAAGAGCCUCGGCACCGUGGAGACAGGAGCUGCUUUCAGCAGAUGUGGAUAG